UGGGGAAUUUUGGACAAUGGGCGAAAGCCUGAUCCAGCAAUGCCGCGUGUGUGAAGAAGGCCUUCGGGUUGUAAAGCACUUUUGUCCGGAAAGAAAUGGCACUGGUUAAUACCUGGGGUCGAUGACGGUACCGGAAGAAUAAGGACCGGCUAACUACGUGCCAGCAGCCGCGGUAAUACGUAGGGUCCAAGCGUUAAUCGGAAUUACUGGGCGUAAAGCGUGCGCAGGCGGUUGUGCAAGACCGAUGUGAAAUCCCCGAGCUUAACUUGGGAAGUGCAUUGGUGACUGCACGGCUAGAGUGUGUCAGAGGGGGGUAGAAUUCCACGUGUAGCAGUGAAAUGCGUAGAGAAGUGGAGGAAUACCGAUGGCGAAGGCAGCCCCCUGGGAUAACACUGACGCUCAUGCACGAAAGCGUGGGGAGCAAACAGG
RNAcentral lists this ribosomal RNA (429 nucleotides) under Bacillota bacterium. Its description in RNAcentral is "Firmicutes bacterium partial 16S ribosomal RNA". It matches the Rfam family "Bacterial small subunit ribosomal RNA", at positions 355 to 776 of the family's 1533-position model. The record is from RNAcentral. Lineage: Bacteria; Bacillati; Bacillota.